RNAcentral lists this transfer RNA (80 nucleotides) under Nicotiana sylvestris (wood tobacco). It matches the Rfam family "tRNA". From Rfam's summary of the family: Transfer RNA (tRNA) molecules are approximately 80 nucleotides in length. Lineage: Eukaryota; Viridiplantae; Streptophyta; Magnoliopsida; Solanales; Solanaceae. The record is from Rfam by way of RNAcentral.
GCCGCUAUGGUGAAAUUGGUAGACACGCUGCUCUUAUGAAGCAGUGCUAAUGCAUCUCGGUUCGAGUCCGAGUGGCGGCA